GAACUACUCCCUCCGUUCCGAAUUACUUGUCUUAGAUUUGUCUAGAUACGGAACUAUCUAGAUAGUUCCGUAUCUAGACAAAUCUAAGACAAGUAAUUCGGAACGGAGGGAGUAGCAC
Non-coding RNA from Triticum aestivum (bread wheat), 118 nucleotides. The record is from Rfam. Lineage: Eukaryota; Viridiplantae; Streptophyta; Magnoliopsida; Poales; Poaceae.